RNAcentral lists this long non-coding RNA (1972 nucleotides) under Manihot esculenta (cassava). RNAcentral describes it as "long non-coding RNA (MESC_LNC001023)". The record is from RNAcentral. Lineage: Eukaryota; Viridiplantae; Streptophyta; Magnoliopsida; Malpighiales; Euphorbiaceae.
UUUAAUAUAAAAUUUAAAUUAAAAGACUAUAUAUUUUAUUAAUAUAAAACUUUAGAGACAAUAUUGUAAUUUAUCGUUAACUUUUUAGUUUCAAUUUAGUUAUUUUAAUUAUAACCAUGACAAAUUUAAAAAAUUUAGCUUCAUUAUCAAAAUUUUAAAAUUUUGGAUAUAAAUAUAAAGUAAUGUAAAGUUUUAUAUUUUUUUUUGCCUAAUAGACAUUUAAGGAAUAAUAUCACAAUUUCAAAAUGAGAUUCCACUGGCACAAACUCUUAGCCAUGAAAACACAAUAAAAAUUUAUAGAAAUAACUUCAACUUUUAUUCAUAAAAGGAAAAUUAUACAAAGGGACUCCUCAUACAGAUCAUCCCAAUGUUUACAUAUAUACAUGUUAAAUAGAAAGAAAAUAACGGUUACAAGUAGGAGUUACAAAGCAGUUAUGGCUGACAUCUCCAGCCAUGUAGGAGAAAACUGCCCACAAUUGCAUAAGGCGAAACUACCUCCUUACUAGCACAACUGCCCCACGUCUGUAGGGAAUUCCCUUGCCUCCAAGUAACUUUUAGUAAUUGCCCUAUCAUGGGCCUACAGCCAAUUCCAGCAACUCUAUACACAUGUGGGAGUGGACUGAUAUCCAAGCUCAUCCCUUGAAAGCCAACGCCCCAGUAGCCCAAGGCCUUCAACAAGCUUGCACCAAGUAGAAAUUUCUCAUUGCCCAACAUCACCUUGCUAACCAAGUGUGCCAAUGCAUACAGUCAAGUGAAGUUGUAGUGGGACUAAGGCUAAUUUUCACUCCAACCCAUGCCAAUCUUAUUAAGGGUCUAACAGCAACCCCACUAGAAGGAGCCAAUAUCCUCAUUAGUAGCGCUUGCAAAUUCAAUUUGUUUCUCAAAUUGCCGUAGAGUAGUAUCUCUUUUCCAUGUAGCUUUGACAUUUGGUCUAUUUUUUCACAGAAUUAAGAAUUUUUUCCUUCGAUUCUUCUUACUAUGCCCCAAGAUUCGAUGAUCCAAAAUUUUCAAAAUCUCAACAUCAAAUUGCUUCUUUACAACUAAGGAGCUCUCUUAGCUUGAUUCCUUGAAGGUUCUGCCACAUCCUCAUGGAAUUGUUUGAGGAAACUUACAUGGAGGGUGGGAUGCACCUUUAGCCUUUAAAGUAACUUUAGCAUGUAGGCAACAUUGCCCACCUUAGCAAUAAUUUUGAAAGGGCUAUCAUACUUGGGAACUAAUCCCUAUGCAUUGCCUUGCUACUAAUCUUUUCCCAAAUCUAUAGGGUCAGUUUCAACAGCACCUUGUGUAACACUCCUUACCCGUCUAUAAAAUAACUCAGUAAAGUAUGUCACAUACUAUACUAUAUGCAAUUAUAUAUGUGGACUUAAAUUAGUUUUUACAUUAUAAAUUGUUAUUUAGUUUGUUUAAAUACAUGUUAAUUCAUAAAAAUAAUUUAUAUUAUAAAUUAGCUUUUACAUUAUAACUUGUGAAUAACUGGUUAUGAUGAUGUCCCGUACUGAUGCAGAACCAGACCUCUUGAUUAUUGCUUCCUUUUAUCUAUUACCUGCACAUGAAAAAAUCCAAUGCGUUGAGCUUAUGCUCAAUGUGUAAAUAACAAUAUAUAUUCAUUCAAGUAUAAACAAGAAUACACAUGACAGUUAUAAUAAAAAUAUUUUAUAAAAACGAGUGAAAAUUUUAUAUGUCCGUGAGUGAAAAAUGGGCAAAUUAAGUCAUGCAGUUGUCUGUAAGGUCAUUUAUAUUAUGGUAACCAUCUUGUAUGCAUGCUUGUACGGUAUUAACAAGUCAUAUAAUUAAAUCUUAGCCCAUAUAAACUCUUAGCAGAAUCAACUAGCUAGAUAAGGGAAAAUUGUAUAUGUAUAGUACAAAGUGUCAAACUGUAUAACCUAUGGGCCGAAUGCUGUGUCUGUAUGGUUCAAAAGCUGAGAAACUAUAUGACACAUGGUGUGUCAAAAAUAUUAUAUCAUGUAGCUCA